This 519-nucleotide long non-coding RNA is filed under the name Gossypium barbadense (sea-island cotton). RNAcentral describes it as "long non-coding RNA (GBAR_LNC020967)". Lineage: Eukaryota; Viridiplantae; Streptophyta; Magnoliopsida; Malvales; Malvaceae. The record is from RNAcentral.
AGGUGGCCAUGGCCGACAGUGGCAUGGUGGUGUUCGGCGCAAGUGGGCAAGUGGGCAAGUGGGGGGUAGGUGGCUAGGUAUUAGUGGGCCAAAAUUGGCCUACUACAAUAAUUAUUUUAUUAAAUUAUAUAUUUUUAUUAAAUUAUAUUUUUUUUAAAUUAUACAUAUACCUACAAAGCAUCAAUAUAAUAACAUGAUCAAAGAUUUUGAAGACGAAGAAUUUAUGCAAAUUACUAUAGACUAUUUUCAAAAUUUGUUCACCUCACAAGGAUAGUCUAUUUUUGGUUAAUAGACUAGGCAAGUGGGGGGUAGGUGGCUAGGUAUUAGUGGGCCAAAAUUGGCCUACUACAGCUGCCCCUCUUUGCUCAUUUUCGUGUAACGAGAAUAGAGCAAAGACAUCAAAAGGGCCAAUUUUGCCCGGUCUUGCCGAGUCUUGACUUUUUGGUGCUCAUCUUCUUCAAGUAGCCUUAUCCCAACCUACCGCGUCUUGUUGCUUCGAUCCCCUCUACUGCAACUUCA